Molecule: long non-coding RNA, 2138 nt
Filed under: Crocodylus porosus (Australian saltwater crocodile)
Lineage: Eukaryota; Metazoa; Chordata; Crocodylia; Crocodylidae
Description: lncRNA (ENSCPRG00005006309.1)
Source: RNAcentral
GGCCUGUUUAUUAAGCAUCUGUGUGUGAGGGUGUUUCAUUACAAAGUGAAUGUUUCCAUAGGCAAAGGCAGUGUACAUAUCAUCCUAUGUUUUAAAGACAUUCUUUGAUGCUUAGAGAGUUACAAACAAUAAAGCAGUUCUUUCACUGCAAAAAACCCCUACAUAAAUCAAAUGAUUUCAAGGAGUCACAACUUCAAGGAGACAUCAAACCCCUGUUCCCCUUCUAAUAAAUUAACAAUUGUACAGACACCUUAGGUAUCACCUUUGUUAGGAAGCCAUGACUGACACCUCCAGAAUGAGUAGAAUAAUGCCUUAUUUUUAAACCCAGUGGAAAGGUUGAGUCAAGGGGAUUCCCAGUGUACCCUUUUGGAUUAAAAAGUGGCUACAGGCUGCAAAGCUAAAGCUGGUGUUCCUGUCCAUCCUGGCUGUGGUGUAUGGAUGGACUGUGGGAUCUAGCGUCUUUCCCGUCCCCCCACCUUGUGAUUUCGGGACCGGGUGGAUACUGGUGUCACUGAAGGAAUCUCUGCCCUGCUGUGACUUAGGGGCUUCCCACAGCUGAUUUCUCCCUCCUUGCAACGUGCGGAAAGGCCAGUCGCCUGCCUGGAGAGGCCAGGGAAAGGGCAGGGAGGGGCGGGCAGGGAAUCCCGCUCCGACGAGGGGAGGGAUCCAGCUCACGUUUUGCUUCCUGCCCGGGAGGGCUAGGUCCAGCGAGAGCGGAGCCCAGCGUCCCUCCCAGAGGGUCUGGCCAGGGGAGACACGACCCUUCCGGGGAGAGCACAUUUCGCUGCCCCGCUCCUGGGCUCCAUAUUCCGCGCGGGGCUCGCCUGGCAGCGGGGGCCGCCCCGGGAGGCACGCGCCAUGGAGCCACUGGCCGCUGCCCCGCGGGGGUCGCCGAGCUGUGCGGGGGUCGCCGCGCCCCGCUGACAACGCGCCGAGCCGGCUCUGCCUCUCUCCUCUUGUUGGCCUACAAGAACAAAGCAGGUGUGGUACAUCUGGUUCCCUUCUUCCUCUUCAGCAGAAAGGAGAACACCGCAGUAGGGUCCUUUCUUAUUGGUCCUGUGUCCAAGAAGAGGGUGCUUAGCCUGCAGUCCAUGCUGACAACAAUGUUGUCAACACUGUUGGGGAGUGUUGAAGCUUUAAGCCUAACUCACACUAAAGUUUUCUUGGCAUAAGUAACCAAUAGAACCAUACCAGAAAAAGCCCUAGUUCACAUGCAGUUACAUCAGCAAAAAGUACUUUGGCUAAUAUAGCUUAUUUUGUUUGGGGAAAUGGCAUAAGAUAUGCCAUCAGGAGAGCUCUGUGCUGAUCUAAGCUGUGUAUAAGUAGCACAACAAACCCUUUCUUGUGCAGAUAGGAUGUGAGUCUCCCCCACUGAGCAGCUGCAGCAGGAGAUCUUCAUCUGUCUCUCUAGUCCUGAGGAAAGCUAAUGCUGAAAUCCUUUCUCACACCAGUGUGGUGGCCAGGAGGAGUUGCAAGCUUAACAGAGCAGCUGGCUGUAGGCAAGGGCAGGGAAUGUUCCCAGCUCUUUUAAAAAUAACAAACAUGGUACACGUAUCAGGGCCUGGAGUACUCCAGGAUACUUGCAUGCUCUUGAGGUGUCAGGCACCCCCUCAGUCUGUCCAGCCAGUUCUAGUUGGUCAUAUUUCCUCCAAAGACAAAGGAAUAAGGGAGAUAACCACUUAGGACUUGCCUAUGUGUAUGCUUUACUGUUUAACUAUGCCUUGUAUUCAAAGCAGUAGACCAUCCACUCCGCAUGCAGAUACAGUUAUUGUAGUAUACUAGUAUAAGCCUGCUUAUAGCAUAACAGCAGCAUCUACCCUAGGGCUUUUGCUUGCAUGUUUUAUGUCAGCAUAAAUUACACCCCUUACCAGUACAUCUAUGCCAGUAACAUUUUAAGUGUAACUGAGGCCACAGAAGGGGUAGAUAAUGAUUCUUUUCCUAUAUAUCAUGCACUUUCCCUAUAGAUGUUCUGUAGAUUUGGCUUAAAUUUACUGGUGACAUGUCACUUUAGCUUGUACAAAGACUUAACCUAACUAUUCUCUUUCAUUUUCACUAUUAGGUUUUAUGUACUAGCACAAUCUUGCUAUGUCUGAGUUGUUUAAAAUAAAAUUAGUCUCGAGGAUUGCUGUUAAAUAAGA